GCCCGGACCCUGUCGCACCA
RNAcentral lists this small nuclear RNA (20 nucleotides) under Arabidopsis thaliana (thale cress). Its description in RNAcentral is "snRNA_00457". The record is from RNAcentral. Lineage: Eukaryota; Viridiplantae; Streptophyta; Magnoliopsida; Brassicales; Brassicaceae.